UGCAAGGCCCUGUUCAGGGCCACCAAAGAUUUAUCUUUGAGUGUUA
This is a non-coding RNA of Operophtera brumata (winter moth), 46 nucleotides long. Lineage: Eukaryota; Metazoa; Arthropoda; Insecta; Lepidoptera; Geometridae. The record is from Rfam.